Molecule: long non-coding RNA, 221 nt
Organism: Ochotona curzoniae (black-lipped pika)
Lineage: Eukaryota; Metazoa; Chordata; Mammalia; Lagomorpha; Ochotonidae
Exons: 3
Source: RefSeq, a predicted model, not a curated record
CGGAGUUUGAGCGAGCAGGGAGGCCGGGCAGAAAGUUCCUACCCUCCUGAGGGAAGAAACAGAAACCAGCCAAAGGGUGGUAUCUGUGGCUUGCUGUGAUACAGAGAAAGAUUGAAGUGCUUACUCCAGAGACGUGCCAGCUCCUCUGUCAUGAGAAAAUUCAAGCAUCAAAUGGAAAGGCCCCACAGGUGAGAAAUUGAGGAUUCUGGCCGACAGCCAGC